GGGGAUAACACCUGGAAACAGAUGCUAAUACCGCAUAACAACUUGGACCGCAUGGUCCGAGCUUGAAAGAUGGCUUCGGCUAUCACUUUUGGAUGGUCCCGCGGCGUAUUAGCUAGAUGGUGAGGUAACGGCUCACCAUGGCAAUGAUACGUAGCCGACCUGAGAGGGUAAUCGGCCACAUUGGGACUGAGACACGGCCCAAACUCCUACGGGAGGCAGCAGUAGGGAAUCUUCCACAAUGGACGAAAGUCUGAUGGAGCAACGCCGCGUGAGUGAAGAAGGGUUUCGGCUCGUAAAACUCUGUUGUUAAAGAAGAACAUAUCUGAGAGUAACUGUUCAGGUAUUGACGGUAUUUAACCAGAAAGCCACGGCUAACUACGUGCCAGCAGCCGCGGUAAUACGUAGGUGGCAAGCGUUGUCCGGAUUUAUUGGGCGUAAAGCGAGCGCAGGCGGUUUUUUAAGUCUGAUGUGAAAGCCUUCGGCUCAACCGAAGAAGUGCAUCGGAAACUGGGAAACUUGAGUGCAGAAGAGGACAGUGGAACUCCAUGUGUAGCGGUGAAAUGCGUAGAUAUAUGGAAGAACACCAGUGGCGAAGGCGGCUGUCUGGUCUGUAACUGACGCUGAGGCUCGAAAGUAUGGGUAGCAAACAGGAUUAGAUACCCUGGUAGUCCAUACCGUAAACGAUGAAUGCUAAGUGUUGGAGGGUUUCCGCCCUUCAGUGCUGCAGCUAACGCAUUAAGCAUUCCGCCUGGGGAGUACGGCCGCAAGGCUGAAACUCAAAGGAAUUGACGGGGGCCCGCACAAGCGGUGGAGCAUGUGGUUUAAUUCGAAGCUACGCGAAGAACCUUACCAGGUCUUGACAUACUAUGCAAAUCUAAGAGAUUAGACGUUCCCUUCGGGGACAUGGAUACAGGUGGUGCAUGGUUGUCGUCAGCUCGUGUCGUGAGAUGUUGGGUUAAGUCCCGCAACGAGCGCAACCCUUAUUAUCAGUUGCCAGCAUUAAGUUGGGCACUCUGGUGAGACUGCCGGUGACAAACCGGAGGAAGGUGGGGAUGACGUCAAAUCAUCAUGCCCCUUAUGACCUGGGCUACACACGUGCUACAAUGGAUGGUACAACGAGUUGCGAACUCGCGAGAGUAAGCUAAUCUCUUAAAGCCAUUCUCAGUUCGGAUUGUAGGCUGCAACUCGCCUACAUGAAGUCGGAAUCGCUAGUAAUCGCGGAUCAGCAUGCCGCGGUGAAUACGUUCCCGGGCC
RNAcentral lists this ribosomal RNA (1254 nucleotides) under Lactiplantibacillus plantarum. Its description in RNAcentral is "bacterial SSU rRNA". It matches the Rfam family "Bacterial small subunit ribosomal RNA", at positions 139 to 1380 of the family's 1533-position model. The record is from RNAcentral. Lineage: Bacteria; Bacillati; Bacillota; Bacilli; Lactobacillales; Lactobacillaceae.